This 465-nucleotide ribosomal RNA is filed under the name Vreelandella stevensii. RNAcentral's name for it is "partial 16S ribosomal RNA". It matches the Rfam family "Bacterial small subunit ribosomal RNA", at positions 338 to 795 of the family's 1533-position model. The record is from RNAcentral. Lineage: Bacteria; Pseudomonadati; Pseudomonadota; Gammaproteobacteria; Oceanospirillales; Halomonadaceae.
CCUACGGGCGGCAGCAGUGGGGAAUAUUGGACAAUGGGCGAAAGCCUGAUCCAGCCAUGCCGCGUGUGUGAAGAAGGCCUUCGGGUUGUAAAGCACUUUCAGUGGGGAAGAAAGCCUUGGGGCUAAUACCCUCGAGGAAGGACAUCACCCACAGAAGAAGCACCGGCUAACUCCGUGCCAGCAGCCACGGUAAUACGGAGGGUGCGAGCGUUAAUCGGAAUUACUGGGCGUAAAGCGCGCGUAGGCGGUCUGAUAAGCCGGUUGUGAAAGCCCCGGGCUCAACCUGGGAACGGCAUCCGGAACUGUCAGGCUAGAGUGCAGGAGAGGAAGGUAGAAUUCCCGGUGUAGCGGUGAAAUGCGUAGAGAUCGGGAGGAAUACCAGUGGCGAAGGCGGCCUUCUGGACUGACACUGACGCUGAGGUGCGAAAGCGUGGGUAGCAAACAGGAUUAGAUACCCGAGUAGUC